Molecule: ribosomal RNA, 831 nt
Filed under: Rhodococcus sp. FS-YC6708
Lineage: Bacteria; Bacillati; Actinomycetota; Actinomycetes; Mycobacteriales; Nocardiaceae
Description: bacterial SSU rRNA
Rfam family: Bacterial small subunit ribosomal RNA
Source: RNAcentral
CUUGCUGGGUGGAUUAGUGGCGAACGGGUGAGUAACACGUGGGUGAUCUGCCCUGCACUUCGGGAUAAGCCUGGGAAACUGGGUCUAAUACCGGAUAGGACCUCGGGAUGCAUGUUCCGGGGUGGAAAGGUUUUCCGGUGCAGGAUGGGCCCGCGGCCUAUCAGCUUGUUGGUGGGGUAACGGCCCACCAAGGCGACGACGGGUAGCCGGCCUGAGAGGGCGACCGGCCACACUGGGACUGAGACACGGCCCAGACUCCUACGGGAGGCAGCAGUGGGGAAUAUUGCACAAUGGGCGCAAGCCUGAUGCAGCGACGCCGCGUGAGGGAUGACGGCCUUCGGGUUGUAAACCUCUUUCAGUACCGACGAAGCGCAAGUGACGGUAGGUACAGAAGAAGCACCGGCCAACUACGUGCCAGCAGCCGCGGUAAUACGUAGGGUGCGAGCGUUGUCCGGAAUUACUGGGCGUAAAGAGCUCGUAGGCGGUUUGUCGCGUCGUCUGUGAAAACCCGCAGCUCAACUGCGGGCUUGCAGGCGAUACGGGCAGACUUGAGUACUGCAGGGGAGACUGGAAUUCCUGGUGUAGCGGUGAAAUGCGCAGAUAUCAGGAGGAACACCGGUGGCGAAGGCGGGUCUCUGGGCAGUAACUGACGCUGAGGAGCGAAAGCGUGGGUAGCGAACAGGAUUAGAUACCCUGGUAGUCCACGCCGUAAACGGUGGGCGCUAGGUGUGGGUUUCCUUCCACGGGAUCCGUGCCGUAGCUAACGCAUUAAGCGCCCCGCCUGGGGAGUACGGCCGCAAGGCUAAAACUCAAAGGAAUUGACGGGGGCCC